CGAGCGGCGAACGGGUGAGUAACACGUGGGUGAUCUGCCUUGCACUUCGGGAUAAGCCUGGGAAACUGGGUCUAAUACCGGAUAUGACCCCGGAAUGCAUGUUCUGGGGUGGAAAGAUUUAUCGGUGCGAGAUGGGCCCGCGGCCUAUCAGCUUGUUGGUGAGGUAACGGCUCACCAAGGCGACGACGGGUAGCCGACCUGAGAGGGUGACCGGCCACACUGGGACUGAGACACGGCCCAGACUCCUACGGGAGGCAGCAGUGGGGAAUAUUGCACAAUGGGCGCAAGCCUGAUGCAGCGACGCCGCGUGCGGGAUGACGGCCUUCGGGUUGUAAACCGCUUUUGACAGGGACGAAGCGCAAGUGACUGUACCUGUAGAAUAAGGACCGGCCAACUACGUGCCAGCAGCCGCGGUAAUACGUAGGGUCCGAGCGUUGUCCGGAAUUACUGGGCGUAAAGAGCUUGUAGGCGGUUCGUCGCGUCGUUUGUGAAAACUUGGGGCUCAACCUUAAGCUUGCAGGCGAUACGGGCGGACUAGAGUACUUCAGGGGAGACUGGAAUUCCUGGUGUAGCGGUGAAAUGCGCAGAUAUCAGGAGGAACACCGGUGGCGAAGGCGGGUCUCUGGGAAGUAACUGACGCUGAGAAGCGAAAGCAUGGGUAGCAAACAGGAUUAGAUACCCUGGUAGUCCAUGCCGUAAACGGUGGGUACUAGGUGUGGGGCUCCUUCCACGGACUCCGUGCCGUAGCUAACGCAUUAAGUACCCCGCCUGGGGAGUACGGCCGCAAGGCUAAAACUCAAAGAAAUUGACGGGGGCCCGCACAAGCGGCGGAGCAUGUGGAUUAAUUCGAUGCAACGCGAAGAACCUUACCUGGGUUUGACAUACACCGGAAACCUGCAGAGAUGUAGGCCCCCUUGUGGUCGGUGUACAGGUGGUGCAUGGCUGUCGUCAGCUCGUGUCGUGAGAUGUUGGGUUAAGUCCCGCAACGAGCGCAACCCUUAUCUUAUGUUGCCAGCGCGUAAUGGCGGGGACUCGUGAGAGACUGCCGGGGUCAACUCGGAGGAAGGUGGGGACGACGUCAAGUCAUCAUGCCCCUUAUGUCCAGGGCUUCACACAUGCUACAAUGGCCGGUACAGAGGGCUGCGAUACCGCGAGGUGGAGCGAAUCCCUUAAAGCCGGUCUCAGUUCGGAUCGGGGUCUGCAACUCGACCCCGUGAAGUUGGAGUCGCUAGUAAUCGCAGAUCAGCAACGCUGCGGUGAAUACGUUCCCGGGCCUUGUACACACCGCCCGUCACGUCAUGAAAGUCGGUAACACC
This 1316-nucleotide ribosomal RNA is filed under the name Nocardia sp. Its description in RNAcentral is "bacterial SSU rRNA". It matches the Rfam family "Bacterial small subunit ribosomal RNA", at positions 92 to 1421 of the family's 1533-position model. Lineage: Bacteria; Bacillati; Actinomycetota; Actinomycetes; Mycobacteriales; Nocardiaceae. The record is from RNAcentral.